GAAAAUUAUUUUUAUUCUGAGUUUUAUUCUCAGAUUCUAUCUGAAGGGUUUGCGAUCGUUGUGGAAAUCCCAUUCUCGCUACGGGAAUUUUUUUGUCCGAAAGAAAAAGAAAUACCAAAGUUUCGGAAUUUACGCUCUAUUCAUUCAAUAUUUCCCUUUUUAGAAGACAAAUUUUUGCAUUUGGAUUAUCUAUCACAUAUAGAAAUACCCUAUCCUGCGAUUUUCGAACCAUUUCCUAUAAGAGAAUGGUUUCCAUUACUUUGA
RNAcentral lists this ribosomal RNA (264 nucleotides) under Triticum aestivum (bread wheat). RNAcentral describes it as "partial small subunit ribosomal RNA". The record is from RNAcentral. Lineage: Eukaryota; Viridiplantae; Streptophyta; Magnoliopsida; Poales; Poaceae.